Molecule: long non-coding RNA, 391 nt
Organism: Salvelinus namaycush (lake trout)
Lineage: Eukaryota; Metazoa; Chordata; Actinopteri; Salmoniformes; Salmonidae
Exons: 3
Source: RefSeq, a predicted model, not a curated record
CUAAGCGGGAGUUGUUUGUCGAAGUUCUUUCCUGUUAGAAACUGAAAGUAAAUUCGACAACUUUUCUUCUUUCUGUGGCUCCACCAAGGUUGUUCGACUUGCAAGACAGCAGGAUAAAUGAUUGAUAUGGGACCAGACCAGUCCUCUUCAGGAUUGUGAGACCUCCUCUCUGAGAGUUAUAAUGAGUUAUCAUCAGGGGGCUGAGGGUGGAGCCAUCCCUAAAGAAAGACAUAAGGAUGGGUCACCAAACAAGGAUCUUGAUGAGACCAUGGACCCUGAUAUGAAGAGGACAGGAGAGGUGGUCUGUGAUAUCUGCUCUGAGGUCCAAGCGGUGAAGUUCUGUCUGACCUGCAGUGUGUCCUACUGUGGGACCCACAUCAGACAGCACUAU